RNAcentral lists this ribosomal RNA (462 nucleotides) under uncultured bacterium. RNAcentral describes it as "partial 16S ribosomal RNA". It matches the Rfam family "Bacterial small subunit ribosomal RNA", at positions 28 to 507 of the family's 1533-position model. The record is from RNAcentral.
GACGAACGCUGGCGGCGUGCUUAACACAUGCAAGUCGAACGGAAAGGCCCUUCGGGGUGCUCGUGUGGCGAACGGUUGAGUAAGAGGGGGGUGAUUUGGCCUGCACUUUGGGAUAAGGCUGGGAAAUUGGGGCUAAUACCGAAUAGGACCACGCGCUUCACGGUGUGUGGUGGAAAGCCUUUGCGGUGUGGGAUGGGCGCGCGGCCUAUCAUCUUGUUGGUGGGGUAAUGGCGUACCAAGGCGACGACGGGUAGCCGGCCUGAGAGGGUGAGCGGCCACACUGGGACUGAGAUACGGCCCAGACUCCUACGGGAGGCAGCAGUGGGAAAUAUUGCACAAUGGGCGCAAGCCUGAUGCAGCGACGCCGCGUGAGGGAUGACGGCCUUCGGGUUGUAAACCUCUUUCAAUAGAGACGAAGCGCCAGUGACGGUACCUAGAGAAGAAGCACCGGCCAACUACGUG